This 234-nucleotide ribosomal RNA is filed under the name Salmonella enterica. RNAcentral describes it as "partial 23S ribosomal RNA". It matches the Rfam family "Bacterial large subunit ribosomal RNA", at positions 1 to 226 of the family's 2925-position model. The record is from RNAcentral. RNAcentral also lists the same sequence under 1 other name. Lineage: Bacteria; Pseudomonadati; Pseudomonadota; Gammaproteobacteria; Enterobacterales; Enterobacteriaceae.
GGGUUGUGAGGUUAAGCGACUAAGCGUACACGGUGGAUGCCCUGGCAGUCAGAGGCGAUGAAGGGCGUGCUAAUCUGCGAUAAGCGCCGGUAAGGUGAUAUGAACCGUUAUAACCGGCGAUACCCGAAUGGGGAAACCCAGUGUGACUCGUCACACUAUCAUUAACUGAAUCCAUAGGUUAAUGAGGCGAACCGGGGGAACUGAAACAUCUAAGUACCCCGAGGAAAAGAAAUC